This 54-nucleotide non-coding RNA is filed under the name unclassified sequences. The record is from Rfam.
GCGGAUAAACAUCCGCUGGAAUGUAACCCUACAAGCAAAGGGUUGAACCAUAAA